Molecule: ribosomal RNA, 328 nt
Filed under: uncultured eukaryote
Lineage: Eukaryota
Description: partial 18S ribosomal RNA
Rfam family: Eukaryotic small subunit ribosomal RNA
Source: RNAcentral
CCCUUAGAUGUUCUGGGCCGCACGCGCGCUACACUGAUGCAUUCAACGAGUCUAAAACCUGCUCUGAUAGGGGUGGGUAAUCUUUUGAAUGUGCAUCGUGAUUGGGAUAGAUGAUUGAAAUUUUUCAUCUUCAACGAGGAAUGCCUAGUAGGCGCAAGUCAUCAGCUUGCGUCGAUUACGUCCCUGCCCUUUGUACACACCGCCCGUCGCUCCUACCGAUUGGGUGUGCUGGUGAAAUGUUCGGAUCGGCCGUUUGUCGCGGUUUCCGCGUCAUGUGGCUGAGAAGUUCAUUAAACCCUCCCACCUAGAGGAAGGAGAAGUCGUAACA